AAGGGCAGGAAACCGCGAGGUUAAUCCAAUCCCACAAAUCUGUUUCAGUUCGGAUCGCAGUCUGCAACUCGACUGCGUGAAGCUGGAAUCGCUAGUAAUCGCGGAUCAGCAUGCCGCGGUGAAUACGUUCCCGGGCCUUGUACACACCGCCCGUCACACCACGAGAGUUUGUAACACCCGAAGUCGGUGAGGUAACCUUUUAGGAGCCAGCCGCCGAAGGUGGACAGAUGAUUGGGGG
RNAcentral lists this ribosomal RNA (238 nucleotides) under Bacillus subtilis. Its description in RNAcentral is "partial 16S ribosomal RNA". It matches the Rfam family "Bacterial small subunit ribosomal RNA", at positions 1242 to 1481 of the family's 1533-position model. The record is from RNAcentral. Lineage: Bacteria; Bacillati; Bacillota; Bacilli; Caryophanales; Bacillaceae.